RNAcentral lists this unclassified non-coding RNA (80 nucleotides) under Cloacibacterium normanense. RNAcentral describes it as "Flavo-1 RNA". Lineage: Bacteria; Pseudomonadati; Bacteroidota; Flavobacteriia; Flavobacteriales; Weeksellaceae. The record is from RNAcentral.
UUUUAAACCCGAGAAAAACGGACAUGCUUUUGCCAAAGAUUUGGUAGAACAAAUCGUGAAAAUGAAUCACGGAACUUACC